GAUGAACGCUGGCGGCGUGCCUAAUACAUGCAAGUCGAGCGAACAGACGAGGAGCUUGCUCCUUUGACGUUAGCGGCGGACGGGUGAGUAACACGUGGGUAACCUACCUAUAAGACUGGGAUAACUUCGGAAAACCGGAGCUAAUACCGGAUAAUAUUUCGAACCGCAUGGUUCGAUAGUGAAAGAUGGCUCUGCUAUCACUUAUAGAUGGACCUGCGCCGUAUUAGCUAGUUGGUAAGGUAACGGCUUACCAAGGCAACGAUACGUAGCCGACCUGAGAGGGUGAUCGGCCACACUGGAACUGAGACACGGUCCAGACUCCUACGGGAGGCAGCAGUAGGGAAUCUUCCGCAAUGGGCGAAAGCCUGACGGAGCAACGCCGCGUGAGUGAUGAAGGUCUUCGGAUCGUAAAACUCUGUUAUUAGGGAAGAACAAACGUGUAAGUAACUGUGCACGUCUUGACGGUACCUAAUCAGAAAGCCACGGCUAACUACGUG
RNAcentral lists this ribosomal RNA (497 nucleotides) under uncultured bacterium. RNAcentral describes it as "partial 16S ribosomal RNA". It matches the Rfam family "Bacterial small subunit ribosomal RNA", at positions 28 to 507 of the family's 1533-position model. The record is from RNAcentral.